UCCAGACACGAGAAACGUCUCCAAAGCGAGAACAGGUUGGCUUGACAAGAAACCGGCAAUACAGAACAAACUUCUAAGGCACCAUCGGAGCUGCAGCCAGUCACUCCUCGGCCUUUGCUGCACGGUUGAAGCUGUUCCGUUGGCUUCAUGGGCCAAUUCUGGAUCCUACCGAACGUCUCCUCAGCCAUUCAGAUAUCCACACACUCCACAGUCGUCCACUGAAGUUUUCCCUCAAACCUUCAUCGGACUGCCCGCUCUCCAACACACUCUGUUCAGUAGCAAACCAGAUCCCAUAGGCCAUCUGCUCUGUUUCCUGUAAAUCUGCAUGAAGAAUCCAUGAAUCCACAAACAUAAUUCCCCCCUAUCCACCACCAGGGUCAUUCCUUUCCCUUGACACCGGCUUCCUUCCCCCAGAACUGACUUCCUAAGCACCGCUCUGAGAGUCCCUCUGGGGAAUGAAACCGACUGCGGGGAGGAAGAGGAACCGUGGCCCAAUGAAGUCUGACGACAACAACAACAACAACAACACCAGGAAAGUUCACCUGCAGCACUCCAUUCUGCUGUGGCUUCAGCUGGAGCUGUUUCCAGUGGUUCAGAGAUGCUGCAAGUGUUCAUUUGGCAGGAAACACCCCUCUGUUAUUCUGUUUCAGUUCUACCUGAAACAAAACAUGCACUGCAUGUCUUUUGUAGAUGUCUAGAUAGUUUUGUGCAGUUGUUGCACUUUCUUCUGUGUGGGUCGCGUGCAGAAAUAUGUCUAUAAAAUGCAGUUUUUACUUUUUUUUAUUAUUUGACAUGCUCAUAUCGGAAAAGCAGGCAGUGACGUAAUAUUCUGAAAGGCCCACCGGGUCUGCACAAGUCAGCGUGCAGAGGUUCUCUCCUGUGAAUUAGUUCAGAAGCAGAGCACAAGUAUCACCCUGUGGACGUAAACGGGAUUACGCCCUGACUCAGGAUCCUGAAUCGCUGCAGAGCGCCAUCUUCAGUGACAGCUAAACUGUAACUGAUAAUUACUCAGAUUACCAGUUACUGUAAUCUGAGUAACUGAUAUGAUUUGUCUGUUUUGCAACAUAGUUGGAUUUCUCCACAUUGUAGGUCAACCAUCUCAGCGUCAGGAUUCUGUCUGUUCAACCUGGACUCGCUUCAGAAAUCAGACUUUUAUUACAAUUUUUGUUCUUUUAAUUUAUGAAACAAACCCGUCAUUAAUAUCUAAGAACUGUCUCACUUGUGGCAAGAGUGACUGGAACAACACUGAAGGUGGCCUUUUAGUAACGGCGAAGCAUCUCUGCUUCUUGCACUCAGAUUCCUGAGAUUUAUAUUUAUAAAAGAGUUUUUGUUAGUUAGACUAUAUCUGUUUCUAUGAAGAUUCAUUUUCCCAGAGACAGAAAUGCCCCUUUCCUUUGUAUUUUAGACCACAGGUUCACAAAUUUUUCCAAUCCAUGUCGCUACAAAGCAACGUUUGGUUCGAGACUCUCUUUACAGAAUAUGCGUGCCUUUACAAAAUAAUUUUUUCUUCACUUUUAUCUGAUAUUGAGUUUAUUAUUCAUUUUGUUUAGCAUAAGUGCUGCCUCAUAUCUUUUUAAUUUACUUAUCAAGUCGUAUAUUAUGACUUUUUGAACUUAAUAUUUACGUCAUUAUAUGUUACACAGUAAAAAAAAAAUAUUUUGUCACCACCAGCUCCUCUUUUGAUUAUAAGAAAAUGUGAAAUAUUUUAUAUUAAUCACAUGUCAAAUUUGAUUCCAUCCCCACAGUUCUUUGGGUGUUUUUGUUUUUUUUGUUUUUGCAGCAGGAGCAGUGUCCUUCACUGCAGGGCUGCACGGUUCCUUCUGUCUUUUCCUUCACAGAAACGUAUCCGUUUCAUGGGAUCAAUGUGAAUUUAUAAAUUCAACUGGCAGCCAAUCAGAAAGAUGAGCAUGGUAACCAAAAUUUCAUUAUGUAUUUGUAAGUAUAUUUUAUAAUAUUGAUUGAA
Molecule: long non-coding RNA, 1963 nt
Organism: Xiphophorus hellerii (green swordtail)
Lineage: Eukaryota; Metazoa; Chordata; Actinopteri; Cyprinodontiformes; Poeciliidae
Exons: 4
Source: RefSeq, a predicted model, not a curated record